This is a long non-coding RNA of Rhipicephalus sanguineus (brown dog tick), 206 nucleotides long. RefSeq lists it as uncharacterized. Lineage: Eukaryota; Metazoa; Arthropoda; Arachnida; Ixodida; Ixodidae. The transcript has 3 exons. The record is from RefSeq and is a predicted model, not a curated record.
ACGGCGAGUGCGGACGUACAGCAGCCUUUUGACAAGACUGUCGCCGAGUGUACGGUACAUUGUGGACUGUAAAGCUGAAGAGUGCGCAGUGGAUGCCUGAUUUUGGAACCGAGUGUGAUCGUCUGGGCGGUGUGUUCACUCUGCGGGGAUGAUGGCCAGAGGAAGGAUGAUAGACAGACGACAGCUUGCAGAAGAAGAUGGGAGCA